RNAcentral lists this ribosomal RNA (503 nucleotides) under uncultured bacterium. RNAcentral describes it as "partial 16S ribosomal RNA". It matches the Rfam family "Bacterial small subunit ribosomal RNA", at positions 30 to 523 of the family's 1533-position model. The record is from RNAcentral.
AUUGAACGUCGGCGGCAGGCUUAACACAUGCAAGUCGAGCGGAGUGAUGGUGCUUGCACUAUCACUUAGCGGCGGACGGGCGAGUAAUGCCUAGGAAUCUGCCUAUUAGUGGUGGACAACAUCUCGAAAGGGAUGCUAAUACCCCAUACGUCCUACGGGAGAAAGCAGGGGACCACUUGUGACCUUGCGCUAAUAGAUGAGCCUAAGUCGGAUUAGCUAGUGGGUGGGGUAAAGGCCUACCAAGGCGACGAUUGGUAGCGGGUCUGAGAGGAUGAUCCGCCACACUGGGACUGAGAAACGGCCCAGACUCCUACGGGAGGCAGCAGUGGGGAAUAUUGGACAAUGGGGGGAACCCUGGUCCAGCCAUGCCGCGUGUGUGAAGAAGGCCUUAUGGUUGUAAAGCACUUUAAGCGAGGAGGAGGCUUACCUAGUUAAUACCUGGGAUAAGUGGACGUUACUCGCAGAAUAAGCACCGGCUAACUCUGUGCCAGCCGCCGCCGUAA